AAGGGGAGCAAUCCCUGAGUAAAGUGGCGACCGGGUGAGUAACACGUGACUAACCUACCCUCGAGUGUGGAAUAACAUCGGGAAACCGAUGCUAAUACCGCAUAACAUCGCAAGAUCAAAGGAGCAAUCCGCUUGAGGAGGGGGUCGCGGCUGAUUAGCUAGUUGGCGGGGUAACGGCCCACCAAGGCGAAGAUCGGUAGCCGGCCUGAGAGGGCGCACGGCCACACUGGAACUGAAACACGGUCCAGACUCCUACGGGAGGCAGCAGUGGGGAAUUUUGCGCAAUGGGGGAAACCCUGACGCAGCAACGCCGCGUGGAGGAUGAAGCCCAUUGGG
Molecule: ribosomal RNA, 336 nt
Filed under: uncultured bacterium
Lineage: Bacteria
Description: bacterial SSU rRNA
Rfam family: Bacterial small subunit ribosomal RNA
Source: RNAcentral